GCAUAUGAUUCUUGUCUACCUUUGAAGCCAAAAUAAAAAGAAAGACUCCAGCCCAUUUGGAGGGUUUUACUGCCCGACUCCAGUUGUGAGCUAAAUAGAUACACUGAAAAUGGGAAGGUCAAAGAGGUUUCAUUCACAACUAUGUACUGUCAUUCACCUGAAGACAUGCAAUGCAGUCAUCCUAUCUAUGAAUUCAGAAAUCCUGUUUCCUGCCCAGAUCCAAGAAACUACCCAAACCAUUCCUUGAUUGUUUGCAAGAAAACGAGCAGUUUCUAGAUUACCGAAGAGGAGCCCCUACAAAGCUGAAGCAAUUGUCAAUGAAGGCAAAUAUUUUCCCGCAUUUGUUCAUCCUCAGUUCUCAUUCAGGGAAGGAAAUCGUUGU
Mus musculus (house mouse) is the source of this 382-nucleotide long non-coding RNA. RefSeq annotates it as predicted gene, 36719. The transcript is spliced from 3 exons. The record is from RefSeq and is a predicted model, not a curated record. Lineage: Eukaryota; Metazoa; Chordata; Mammalia; Rodentia; Muridae.